This is a long non-coding RNA of Lotus japonicus, 690 nucleotides long. RefSeq lists it as uncharacterized. Lineage: Eukaryota; Viridiplantae; Streptophyta; Magnoliopsida; Fabales; Fabaceae. The transcript has 2 exons. The record is from RefSeq and is a predicted model, not a curated record.
UCAAAGUUGUUGUAGUCAUGGAAAAUAUACGCAGUUUCCAUGUUAAUUGUUAAUCAAAUUACAUGGUAAUUUCCUUUUUAUUGAAUAUUGUGGUCACACGAUGCAUUUAUUCCCCAAAUUUUUCAUUAUAAAUACAACUCUCAUUGUGGCUAUUGGAAGCACCACAAAUUUGAAACCAUUCGUUCAAUUCCUUUUGCGAAAAAAAAUAGCUUUGUUUUGUCAAAAGCCCUUAAUCUUUUUUUUCAGGAUGAGCAAUAAUACCAAUAUUCCAAAGGCUCUUACUCCUACAAGGCCUCCUCCACCUAAGGGCAAUACCUCCGGGGGUAAUAAGCCACCAUCUAACAAGGAUAUAUUUUACCCCAAGAAUAGAUAGUAGAUUUCCAAUUUCUGUCAAGGUUUAUGUACAACUGGGAUGGAAUUGUCAUGUUUCGUUACAAAAUGUGUUUGUUCCUUGUUUUUGAACUUAAUUAGGGUUUGAUCUUUAUAUAUAUCUGAUUCCAAUAAUAGAGAUUUGAUGGAGGGGACUGUUCUUAUAUAAUCUCUAUCUAUGUAGCAAGCAAUUCUAUUAGUCGUUUCUUCUUGUAAUUGUGUGUCAGUGUGUGUGUUCCUUCUUGUAAUCGUUGAAAAACUUUGAGCAAUUGAAUGCAUAUGCAAAACAAAAACUUUGGUAAUGAAAGUUAGUUAUGGUCA